GGGGCUAUAGCUCAAUUGGGAGAGCGCUACGUUCGCAACGUAGAGGUUAGCGGUUCGAUCCCGCUUAGCUCCA
This 73-nucleotide transfer RNA is filed under the name Ignavibacteria bacterium CG1_02_37_35. RNAcentral describes it as "tRNA-Ala". It matches the Rfam family "tRNA". From Rfam's summary of the family: Transfer RNA (tRNA) molecules are approximately 80 nucleotides in length. Their secondary structure includes four short double-helical elements and three loops (D, anti-codon, and T loops). The record is from RNAcentral. Lineage: Bacteria; Pseudomonadati; Ignavibacteriota; Ignavibacteria. RNAcentral also lists the same sequence under 6 other names.